Molecule: long non-coding RNA, 251 nt
Organism: Oncorhynchus masou masou (cherry salmon)
Lineage: Eukaryota; Metazoa; Chordata; Actinopteri; Salmoniformes; Salmonidae
Exons: 3
Source: RefSeq, a predicted model, not a curated record
AACACUAAGUUCUGUGGAACGACCUCCAUCUCCCACCUGGCUUACAAGCUGAAGCCUCGCUACCACUUUGCUGCGGUAGAAGGAGUUCACUAUGAGAGACUACCUUACAGGAAUCAUGUUGUUCUUCAGGAGAAUACUCAGCACGUCAGCAGGUUUAUCGCCCUGGCAACUGUCAACAACCCAGAGAAGAGAAAGUACCUGUAUGCCUUCAACAUUAUCCCGAUGAAAAGCAUGGAGGCAUCAGAACUGGC